GAACUAGCUGACCAAAUCUUACUGGUUUCCUGCAUUCCUUUUUCAAAUGACUUUGGCUCUUCAACCCUCCCUGAGACUCUUCUAAUUAACCAACAGAAAGCAAGAGUGGAGCUAUGCCUCAGGUGGUAGAGCACCAGCCUUGAGGAAACAAGCUCAGGCACAGAGCCCAGGUCCUGAGUUCCAGCCCCAGGACCGGCAUUCCCCACCACCCCAUCUUCCCCAUGCACUCAAGACUGACUUCUGGAAAGUGAUAUUACCUGAGGAGGAGGAGGAAAGACAAGGAGCAGGGAUGGCAGCUGUGACUCAGGUAAAGCCAUGUGGCGUCUCCUUCCUGUGCACAGAGCUGGCCUGGGUGCUGCAAGCCGUGUGCUCACAUCCCCCACGCCUUUCCUCAUCCCUGUCCCCUCCACUGGGCAUGGGCACAGGAGGGCAUCACCCACCAAGUGUUCCUGUGUUCUUGCUGAAACCUUUCUGCUGUUCUUUUCAGCUUU
This is a long non-coding RNA of Dipodomys ordii (Ord's kangaroo rat), 491 nucleotides long. RefSeq lists it as uncharacterized. NCBI's taxonomy places the organism in Eukaryota, Metazoa, Chordata, Mammalia, Rodentia, Heteromyidae. The transcript is spliced from 3 exons. The record is from RefSeq and is a predicted model, not a curated record.